RNAcentral lists this transfer RNA (68 nucleotides) under Marmota monax (woodchuck). RNAcentral describes it as "tRNA.Thr". It matches the Rfam family "tRNA", at positions 6 to 65 of the family's 71-position model. From Rfam's summary of the family: Transfer RNA (tRNA) molecules are approximately 80 nucleotides in length. Lineage: Eukaryota; Metazoa; Chordata; Mammalia; Rodentia; Sciuridae. The record is from RNAcentral.
GUAUAGCUCAGUUGGUAGAGUGCUUGCCUUGUAUCUGCAAGGUCCUGGGUUCAAUCCCCAGUAAAACA